Molecule: ribosomal RNA, 274 nt
Filed under: uncultured bacterium
Lineage: Bacteria
Description: partial 16S ribosomal RNA
Rfam family: Bacterial small subunit ribosomal RNA
Source: RNAcentral
AUACGGAGGGGGCUAGCGUUGUUCGGAUUUACUGGGCGUAAAGCGCACGUAGGCGGAUCGAUCAGUCAGGGGUGAAAGGCCUGGGCUCAACCCAGGAACUGCCUUUGAUACUAUCGAUCUAGAAUCCGGGAGAGGUGAGCGGAAUUCCAAGUGUAGAGGUGAAAUUCGUAGAUAUUUGGAAGAACACCGGUGGCGAAGGCGGCUCACUGGACCGGUAUUGACGCUGAGGUGCGAAAGCGUGGGGAGCGAACAGGAUUAGAAACCCCAGUAGUCC